This 502-nucleotide long non-coding RNA is filed under the name Brassica napus (rape). RNAcentral's name for it is "long non-coding RNA (BNAP_LNC006552)". The record is from RNAcentral. Lineage: Eukaryota; Viridiplantae; Streptophyta; Magnoliopsida; Brassicales; Brassicaceae.
AAUAAAAUUGGAAUUUUAAGUUUGUUGUGGUGUUUUCUUGCUGUAUGCGUACGUGUGCUGUUACGUACGUUAUGUGGUGUGAGUGUGGACUCUUUGGUUUGGAGAUAUGGCUGUGGGAGUUGGCUUAUAACGGGUCUAUUAUAUAUGGUAUUGGCCUUGGUUUGGUAUGGAACUAUGGAGGCUUUGGGAUCAUUGGCAACUAUGAUUUUAGGUAUCAUGGUGCAAAUUUGUUUGAGAUCAAGGAGAUGGGAAAUGCAAAAUACAUCAGGACAUGAUGAAGACGUUCUUGAAUUCUCCUCUUUUGGGGGUACAUCCAUUAAGACAAGUUAGAGGGCUUUAUAUAGUAUUGUUUACCCUUUGUGGAUUAUAUGAAUUAAUUAAUGGGUUGUCUUUGGUAGGCCUAGUUGCUAGAGAUAAAUUAAGAUGGACUUAUGGUCUUCGUGAUAAGUUUCUUUGUCAUGAUAUCUGUAAAUAUUUAGAUACACUGAAAUGGUCUUAUGGG